CUCACGACACUCGUAGCUCACCUUCUCCCUUCCCGAACCCUAGGCAGAAACCCUAGGGUACUCACAAAAGACCCUGCGCCCUUUCUCUUCUUUUUUUCUUUUCUUUUCUUUUCUUUUCUCACACAGAAGGCCUUUCUCAUGCCACUCUUUUUCUAUCAGAUCAGAUAUCGCAUGCCCCACCUUCUCUUUCUUUUUAAAAUGGUGCA
RNAcentral lists this long non-coding RNA (206 nucleotides) under Elaeis guineensis (African oil palm). RNAcentral's name for it is "long non-coding RNA (EGUI_LNC061665)". The record is from RNAcentral. Lineage: Eukaryota; Viridiplantae; Streptophyta; Magnoliopsida; Arecales; Arecaceae.